RNAcentral lists this ribosomal RNA (301 nucleotides) under uncultured bacterium. RNAcentral's name for it is "partial 16S ribosomal RNA". It matches the Rfam family "Bacterial small subunit ribosomal RNA", at positions 509 to 807 of the family's 1533-position model. The record is from RNAcentral.
CAGCAGCCGCGGUAAUACGUAGGUGGCAAGCGUUGUCCGGAAUUAUUGGGCGUAAAGGGCUCGCAGGCGGUUUCUUAAGUCUGAUGUGAAAGCCCCCGGCUCAACCGGGGAGGGUCAUUGGAAACUGGAAAACUUGAGUGCAGAAGAGGAGAGUGGAAUUCCACGCGUAGCGGUGAAAUGCGUAGAGAUGUGGAGGAACACCAGUGGCGAAGGCGACUCUCUGGUCUGUAGCUGACGCUGAGGAGCGAAAGCGUGGGGAGCGAACAGGAUUAGAUACCCCCGUAGUCCCUGUCUCUUAUAC